GCACUAAUAAAAGAAACGUUCCUAUACCGAACAAAGUGUAGAGGAUAUUGAUGUAAUAUAAUGAAUAGAUUACCUAUAUUUUCAGAAAUAAUGUACAAGCCUUCAUCUUGUGCAUCACAUGACAAGAUAAUUAGCUAACUGGCCAGAUUAGUAAAUUCAACCAAGCCGAGUUUAUCUGGUAAAAUGAAAUCAAAUUUACAUUUGCAUAUUACAUAAUUUUGCUCUAUAAGAUCAGGGAUGAACUUGAUGAAAUUGAAGACAUAUUCCAUCCAUGAAUAGUAGCAUGUCUGUUUCAUUCGACAUUCUUGUAUUAUGUUCCUGAGAUGGUCUUGUUGAUAACUGGUUUGAAAGUAGACCUCAAGAAAUGUUUCAUCUGCAGUUAAGUCACACACGGUAAGCAAAAAGACAAAUGUUUGAAAACCCACGAAGAACCCAGUUCCAUAGUUUAAACAAAAUGUUAGAUGCAAUUUUCAAUGACAGAAUGACCAGUAAAAAGUUUUUCUUUCUUUCCACUAUCAAAGAAGUGGCCGAACACAUUUCAGCAGCAGAACUAUGUAGAACUAAAAAAGAACACCUUAAUUCGCUAGCCGUUGCUGAUUUUCCAAUUGGUAAAGUACCAGUCUCAUUAAGUCCUUUUUACACGAAAAACAAUGUUUUGUUAAUUACAGCCCCACGUUAGUAUGAUCUAAACUGAAAUAAGGCAUGCAAAAUAAACUCUCCAGUAAUAUUCUGCGGCGAAAAGUUCACAAACCACAAGCAAUAUCUGAUUACAGUUUGUUGUAUAGAAACUAUGUAUACUAACACGCGUAGUCGCACUUGGAAAUGGCAGACAAUCAUUACUUAAGACGGUACAAAAUCGAGGGUUACAGAUUCGAAAAGUUGUCAAUAAACUAAAGUAUCUUUGUUAGGAAAAAUAACACAUCCCUGUAAUGAACAAAUCUGCAUACAUAAUUCAAAAGUUUCUAAUUCGUCAAUAAUAUCAAUCAUGGCCAGACCAACUGAACUAUUCCUCACCACUCAGCUAUAUAAGACAUUAUCAGACAGACAUCAUUGGUGAUAUUUUCCGAAUUCACAUAAAUGUAGGAAGAUAUGCCUACUGCACCGUCCCUCUAAUAGUAGAGCUUGAUUGUUACUGCGAAGUACAAGUUUACGUCUUGUGGUAGGGGCAGAUGUUGCACAGUUGUUCAUACGCAAAAGAAUUGUUGAGGAAACAUCAGUGCCAUAAGCAUGAAAAAAUGGUAUGCAUAGUACUCUGUAAUAGCAAUGAUCGAUCAACUAAUGUGUGUAGACUUACAAUAACCGGG
This 1304-nucleotide long non-coding RNA is filed under the name Triticum aestivum (bread wheat). RNAcentral's name for it is "long non-coding RNA (TAES_LNC021729)". Lineage: Eukaryota; Viridiplantae; Streptophyta; Magnoliopsida; Poales; Poaceae. The record is from RNAcentral.